Long non-coding RNA from Poecile atricapillus (Black-capped chickadee), 3799 nucleotides. RefSeq lists it as uncharacterized. The record is from RefSeq and is a predicted model, not a curated record. NCBI's taxonomy places the organism in Eukaryota, Metazoa, Chordata, Aves, Passeriformes, Paridae. The transcript is spliced from 3 exons.
AGAGUCAUCCCCUUGCAUAUUCCCGGGGGAGUGGGAGGCUGCGGCCCGUCCUGCUGGGCUAGAGCGCGGAGGGGCCCCUCCGCCCUCCUGCCCUCCUCCCCCAGCCCGGGCCUGCAGCUGAAAAUAAUUUAUCUGCUCGCUCCGCCGGGCUCCCGGCAUAUGCGAUUGGGAGGGAAACGUAUCCAUCAUGGAUAAACUUGAGCACAAAGACAGGCUGAGUGUCACAGGAUACAAAAGGGCAGAGGUCGGCGCGGCGAGCGGGAGGAUUUGCGCAGGGCAGGGCAGGGCAGGGCAGGGCGGCAUGGCCGCCACACGGCAGCGCGGGGCCGGGCCUGCCCGGCCGGGCACGGCUCCCGCAGUAAACAAAGCCCGAGCCACCAAAACCGGGAAAAAACCCGCUGAAAACAACGAAAGAACCGGAGGGGUGACGAAGCUCUAAGGUCUUACUUCCCAGUGCCAUGGACAGCAACACCAACUGCACCUAUCAUAUCUCCACAGCAUCUGCACUAUCGUAUCUGCACAGCUCAAAAACCAAAAGUGAAGAGUCAAGCAAAAGAUACUGGAACCAGCUUCACUGAGAUGUCUACAAGGCAGUAGUAAUGGCAACAGCUGUCAACCAGAUUUGCUCAUUUGGAUUGUCAGGAAUUCCAUCCUCCUUUCGAGCAUCCAGAAAUACUCUGUUGCAGGCCUGCAUUGCCACUCUCUCUCUGCUGAUGUUGGUAACUCACCAGUAUCACUCAAGAGAGAACAGUCCAGCGAUCUGUGAAAGGCAUAAUCUAACUGACUGCAAAAUGGAAGUGCUAAAGACAAGAGCAGCCUAAAAUAGCAGUCUGAGGAUGGGCAGCAGGCAUCUGCCUGCCAAAAGCAAAGCACCUCGCAGGGUAAAGUUCCCCAGCUACUGGGCCAAGGGAAUGAUGGCCACUCCAAGGUUUCCUAACACCUCCCUUGGCUCCCUCCUACUUCUCACUAGCUGCAUAUUUUUGUCUUCGCAAAUAAAGCUUCAGCUAUUUCUCUUGUCUGUGUGCUGCAAGUUUACCAUUGCUGGAGAUUUCUGAGCCUAGCAGACGGAAGCACAGUGACCCUCCCAGGGCAGGGGGCAGCUGCCAUGUCAGACAGGUCUACAGCAUCACAUGUGCAGCUAAGAUGAGCAAACACCUUUGCUACAAAGAAAUGAAAAUGCACCUAACAAAGUUUUUCAAAAUAUUAGAUGUGCAUGUGUUGCAUGCCAGAUUUCUGAGAAAAAAGGAAAAUAAGCAUGCAAGCCAUUUUCUCCAAAACCACAACCCCUUAAUUCCCCAGGUCAGCACAGUGUCUGGUCCUUCAACAUUGCACUAGGCUCAGCAGAUGAGGAAACAGUCGCACCAGAAGGCUCUGUAACAGAUGGAAACCAGAGCAGCUGGAGAGCAGGGAAAUGUCUGUGCGGGUGAGGGGGUGGGGGCAGAAAGCCCAUCCCCACUCCCAAGCUUUAAAGCUGCGUGCAGCCAUCACGCCCUACUGCAAACAGCCCACGGAUCUGCUGGGGAGAAAGCUGAAGGAAGCAGUAUGUGGCCGGAUGAUUUAGUGCUUCCCAGACUUCCCAUCAAGAGAGCAAUACUGAACCAUGCAACACAGGCCUGCAAGCACUGGGUGUGAGCCCCUCAGGGGUGCAGGAGAUAGUGGAAAAGAGCAAGCUGAGCAUUUGCCUUCUUCAUGGAAAGCACAGCAGAUAAGGAACUGCCAGCUGGAGAAAGCCUAGAACUGGAGCAGUAAGAAAGGAAACAAAACUACACAUGCAUACUGGAGAAAUGUGGAGAAGUGAGUAGGGAACCAGUGCUAUCAAAAUCUGUCAGGGUCUGAAGGAUUUUUUUUUUUUUUUUUUUUUUUAAAUAAGAGGUAUUACCAAAAUGGCACAUUCUUAUAGAGGAAAAAAACAUGGUAAAUGUGGAAGAAUAAGAAUUGAGGAAAAAGCCCCUGCCAUAUGGUACAAUUAUUUCACUACAGUUUAGAUUCACAGCUUUACAACACCUGCACAGUUAAUAACCAUAUUAAGUCAUACAUGAUGUCACCAGUAUUUCCUUUCUUUCUCAACUUAGUUAACUAUUAGGGAAAUACAUCUAACAGGGGUUUCUAUACUUCUGGAAAGACAAAUGACUGUCCAUGAUUAAGACGCCCAUCUCUUGACAUAGUUUAGAAAGUAGCCUACCCUCAGUUCCCAGAUGAGGGAAAGGGACCAAGCCUUGUGAGGGAAACCCAGCCAUUUAGCAGGGAUAGUUUAUUAUAAACAAGACGAGUAAGGUGCGGUUUUUUUCCUUCUUCCUUUGUUUCCUUUAAUUUUGGUUGGAACUACCCUUUGCAACCCUUUUGGUUCCUCAAGUCAGGAGACAAGAAACUAAACUGAUCAACUUGUAAGACGGAAGUCCUCAUAUUAGAGCAGGAGAUUACAGUGUUAACCCAGAUAACACAAACAAGGUCAGCCAACGCUUGUAAAAGGCACACAGGAAUACUCCAUUAUAUAUAUACACAUAUAUAAAACUUUUUGUUACCUGGCCUGCCAUGUAGAAUUAGACUUUGAACAUUGAUUUUCAGCAGCUGUGAGCAACUGCAAAAUUGACAGGGUAGUGGAAAGUCUUCAUGAUGAUUUUUCCUCCUUAGUUAUUCUUCUUCCUAACCACAAGCCAUAAUACUUUUGUUCUACUAUUACCCCAGACACUCCAAGAAAAUGUUCAGGUGUAGUCUGGCACCAGAGGUAAGCUGAUCUAACCAUUAGUUGCCAUCAGAAGAUCAUCACCACAGGGGUAUUUGAACAGCAAUGACAGCACAAGGGAAGAAGCAAGAGUGGUACGGCUGAUUUAAAGCAUCAAAACCCAUUGGAUCAGCUUAUUACUAUACCAUGCAUUCAAACUGCCUUCAGGCCACAGCCAGGUGGUUCAACAACUUAAACUGAAAAGCACAGCAGUAAAACAAGCCAGACAUUUGCUACAGAAAGAUAUGAGAAAACAGUGUCUGCUGAUAGGACUUACGGAAAAAAAAAAUAAUUCUAAUUUGGUCAAAUAUGUGAAAAAAUAUUUUUCAUCCAACUGAUGAAACAUACAGAUCAACACCAAAGACUACACUAAGCAUGGAAAACCUAGCAGUUACCUCUAGCUUCUCCUGACUGGAAGACUGCUGACUUUAGAGUUAUUUCAUACCAAUGUACAACUCCAGUGAAGGAUGUGCAAAUAUUCUGGAAUCUGGCAUUAGGAUUUCUUUUAGAUAAAAAAUGUUAUAUCUCAUUGUGAUUUACAAAAAUAAAGGCCAUUUGUGAAUACUAAAGAUAUUUGUCAAGAGAGUCAAAUAACGGGUUUUAGUAGUUAAGACAUUCCAAAAGCAAUUAAUCCAUGGGUGCUUAGAGGACAGCCUCCAGCAGUUCAAGCCAAGCACACACACAGUCCCUCAAUGAAUGGCUGUGAUGGAUAAACACGCUACUUAUAGGAAGAAUAUUUCAUUGACAUCCAUUCAACACCUAAGAAGCCUUCUGGACAGAGAGGUAAAACUUAUAUUUUUCAUUACACUUCUCUUGCUCACAUUGUACUUUUCUGCAGUCUUUCCUAAAUCCCCAUACUAGAAGCCCAUUAGCAUAAGAUUGGAUUUUGCAUAUUCGGGGGGGGUUUAAAACAUAUUCACUACAAGAAUUUUUAAAUAUAUCCCACUAUUCGAAACACUUUUGUUCCAAGAGCUGACCAUUACAGACUAUUUUCUAGAUAUGGCAGGACAAAUUCCUUCCUGUCUGAGAGUUUCCAUGGUAAUAAAAGUCCCCUUUAAACACAUUCACGGUGGUUUG